Molecule: ribosomal RNA, 253 nt
Filed under: uncultured bacterium
Lineage: Bacteria
Description: partial 16S ribosomal RNA
Rfam family: Bacterial small subunit ribosomal RNA
Source: RNAcentral
UACGAAGGGGACAAGCGUUGCUCGGAAUCACUGGGCGUAAAGCGCGCGUAGGCGGCCGAUCAAGUCAGAGGUGAAAGCCUGGAGCUCAACUCCAGAACUGCCUUUGAUACUGUUUGGCUAGAGUUCGGAAGAGGUUGGUGGAACUGCAAGUGUAGAGGUGAAAUUCGUAGAUAUUUGCAAGAACACCAGUGGCGAAGGCGGCCAACUGGUCCGAUACUGACGCUGAGGUGCGAAAGCGUGGGGAUCAAACAGG